Molecule: ribosomal RNA, 406 nt
Filed under: uncultured bacterium
Lineage: Bacteria
Description: partial 16S ribosomal RNA
Rfam family: Bacterial small subunit ribosomal RNA
Source: RNAcentral
AUUGAACGCUGGCGGCAUGCUUUACACAUGCAAGUCGAACGAGUGGCGAACGGGAGAGUAAUAUAUCGGAACGUACCGAGUAAUGGGGGAUAACCAAUCGAAAGAUUGGCUAAUACAGAAUAUUAUUCGAGCGGCCGAUAACUGAUUAGCUAGUUGGUGGGGUAAAGGCCUACCAAGGCGACGAUCAGUAGCGGGUCUGAGAGGCGGAUGCGACACACGGGGACCGUGACCCGCCCCAGACUCCUACGGUAGGCAGCGGUAGUGCAUGUGUGACAAUGGGGGCAUCCCUGAUCCAUCCAUGCCGCGUGUAUGAAGAAGGCCUUCGGGUUGUAAAGUACUUUUGUUCGGGUAGCGGUACCUAAAGAAUAAGCACUUGCUAACGACGUGCCUGCGGCGGCGGUAAUAC